UACGAGGGGGGCAAGCGUUGUUCGGAAUUAUUGGGCGUAAAGGGUGCGUAGGCGGUGCGGUAAGUCUGUUGUGAAAUCUCCGAGCUCAACUCGGAGUCUGCAUCAGAAACUGCCGUGCUGGAGUGUGGGAGAGGUGAGUGGAAUUCCCGGUGUAGCGGUGAAAUGCGUAGAGAUCGGGAGGAACACCUGCGGCGAAAGCGGCUCACUGGACCACAACUGACGCUGAGGCGCGAAAGCUAGGGGAGCAAACAGG
This 253-nucleotide ribosomal RNA is filed under the name uncultured bacterium. RNAcentral describes it as "partial 16S ribosomal RNA". It matches the Rfam family "Bacterial small subunit ribosomal RNA", at positions 524 to 776 of the family's 1533-position model. The record is from RNAcentral.